Molecule: long non-coding RNA, 2185 nt
Filed under: Salmo salar (Atlantic salmon)
Lineage: Eukaryota; Metazoa; Chordata; Actinopteri; Salmoniformes; Salmonidae
Description: lncRNA (ENSSSAG00000115768.1)
Source: RNAcentral
CAUGACUGAGUUACUGUACGGACAGGUUACACCUGUACUACACCACAUGACUGAGUUACUGUACGGACAGGUUACACCUGUACUACACCACAUGACUGAGUUACUGACAGGUUACACCUGUACUACACCACAUGACUGAGUUACACCUGUACUACACCACAUGACUGAGUUACUGUACGGACAGGUUACACCUGUACUACACCACAUGACUGAGUUACUGUACGGACAUGUUACACCUGUACUACACCACAUGACUGAGUUACUGUACGGACAGGUUACACCUGUACUACACCACAUGUCUGAGUUACUGUACGGACAGGUUACACCUGUACUACACCACAUGACUGAGUUACUGACAGGUUACACCUGUACUACACCACAUGACUGAGUUACUGUACGGACAGGUUACACCUGUACUACACCACAUGACUGAGUUACUGUAUGGACAGGUUACACCUGUACUACACCACAUGACUGAGUUACUGUACGGACAGGUUGACCUGUACUACACCACAUGACUGAGUUACUGUACGGACAGGUAACACCUGUACUACACCACAUGACUGAGUUACUGACAGGUUACACCUGUACUACACCACAUGACUGAGUUACUGUACGGACAGGUUACACCUGUACUACACCACAUGACUGAGUUACUGACAGGUUACACCUGUACUACACCACAUGACUGAGUUACACCUGUACUACACCACAUGACUGAGUUACUGUACGGACAGGUUACACCUGUACUACACCACAUGACUGAGUUACUGUACGGACAGGUUACACCUGUACUACACCACAUGACUGAGUUACUGUACGGACAGGUUACACCUGUACUACACCACAUGACUGAGUUACUGUACGGACAGGUAACACCUGUACUACACCACAUGACUGAGUUACUGUACGGACAGGUAACACCUGUACUACACCACAUGACUGAGUUACUGUACGGACAGGUAACACCUGUACUACACCACAUGACUGAGUUACUGUACGGACAGGUAACACCUGUACUACACCACAUGACUGAGUUACUGUACGGACAGGUUACACCUGUACUACACCACAUGACUGAGUUACUGUACGGACAGGUUACACCUGUACUACACCACAUGACUGAGUUACUGUACGGACAGGUUACACCUGUACUACACCACAUGACUGAGUUACUGACAGGUUACACCUGUACUACACCACAUGACUGAGUUACACCUGUACUACACCACAUGACUUAGUGACUGUACGGACAGGUUACACCUGUACUACACCACAUGACUGAGUUACUGUACGGACAGGUUACACCUGUACUACACCACAUGACUGAGUUACUGUACGGACAGGUUACACCUGUACUACACCACAUGACUGAGUUACUGUACGGACAGGUUACACCUGUACUACACCACAUGACUGAGUUACUGUACGGACAGGUUACACCUGUACUACACCACAUGACUGAGUUACUGUACGGACAGGUUACACCUGUACUACACCACAUGACUGAGUUACUGUACAGACAGGUUACACCUGUACUACACCACAUGACUGAGUUACUGUACGGACAGGUUACACCUGUACUACACCACAUGACUGAGUUAAUGUACGGACAGGUUACACCUGUACUACACCACAUGACUGAGUUACUGUACGGACAGGUUACACCUGUACUACACCACAUGACUGAGUUACUGUACGGACAGGUUACACCUGUACUACACCACAUGACUGAGUUACUGUACGGACAGGUAACACCUGUAAUACACCACAUGACUGAGUUACUGUACAGACAGGUUACACCUGUACUACACCACAUGACUGAGUUACUGUACAGACAGGUUACACCUGUACUACACCACAUGACUGAGUUACUGUACGGACAGGUUACACCUGUACUACACCACAUGACUGAGUUACUCUACGGACAGGUUACACCUGUACUACACCACAUGACUGAGUUACUGUACGGACAGGUUACACCUGUACUACACCACAUGACUGAGUUACUCUACGGACAGGUUACACCUGUACUACACCACAUGACUGAGUUACUGUACGGACAGGUAACACCUGUACUACACCACAUGACUGAGUUACUGUACGGACAGGUUACACCUGUACUACACCACAUGACUGAGUUACUGUACGGACAGGUUACACCUGUACUACACCACAUGACUGA